GCCUCUGUGGUGGAAAUGGUAGACACGACAGGUUUAGGCCCUGUUGCUCGCAAGGGUGUGGGGGUUCGACUCCCUCCAGGGGCA
Molecule: transfer RNA, 84 nt
Filed under: Candidatus Latescibacterota bacterium
Lineage: Bacteria; Pseudomonadati; Candidatus Latescibacterota
Description: tRNA-Leu
Rfam family: tRNA
About the family: Transfer RNA (tRNA) molecules are approximately 80 nucleotides in length. Their secondary structure includes four short double-helical elements and three loops (D, anti-codon, and T loops).
Source: RNAcentral